This is a long non-coding RNA of Ictalurus furcatus (blue catfish), 3018 nucleotides long. RefSeq lists it as uncharacterized. The record is from RefSeq and is a predicted model, not a curated record. The transcript is spliced from 3 exons. Lineage: Eukaryota; Metazoa; Chordata; Actinopteri; Siluriformes; Ictaluridae.
UUUUGAGCAUUCCUAAUCACCCCGCCUUUCGCCCUCACUCUUUUUCUCGGUUCUUCUUCUCUUUUUAUCUAGUAGACUAGACAUCUUUAUGUCUUAUAUUACUCUAUGUAAUAGAUGUUUUGAUGUUAUCUGAGGCCUGUUACAAUUGACAUUUAUCAUUCUUUAUUAAUAUUUCUCUGUGUUUAUAUAUACUAUGCUUUCUGUGUCAUUAAACUAAGAAGCUUUCACUGAACUAUGGUGUCGGUGGGACUUUUUCCUGGGCCCAGACGAGAGGAAAUCAGCCAGAGCAGGGUUCAAAUUCUGGUUCUGACUGGUAUCGGACAAAGAACUUAACAGUUUCCUGGUGUCAGAACCGAGGAUAUUUGGAUGAAGGGGCCAUCGUCGUCUUGACGCGGUCUUGCCACUGGAUAAUGGUGGUCACCAGGAAGUGAGAAUGAGGCCGAUGCUGCGCAAGUCUUCCUCACUAUAAUCCAAUUCACGCGCAACUCGAGUCCCAGUGUGUGUUCUCCAUAAUGGAGGCAGAAAUGGAAACUUCGGUCUCGUCGAAAUCGACGGACGAACUCCUGUGUGUGUGUCAUAUUUUUUGGUUGGACGUGUGUGUGUGUCAUAUUUUUGGUUGGAUGUGCAUGGAAAUUCAUUAUUUAUUAUUUCAUCAGCCUUAUGUAUGUAUGUAUGUGGGGGGGAACGCAACAGAUUACAACAAACCUUUAUUAUAUAAACCAUUAUCCAUGUUUGACCUUCACCUCUUAAGAUAAUGACAUAAGUGUAGACCAUAUGUAAUAUUAUCUUUAGUGUACAUCUCUCAACAUAAUUAUGACUGAUGAUGAUGACUUUUGACCUGCCAAGAUAAUUAUAAUUGCUGAUGACCUUUGACCUAGACCUGUCAAAACCAAUUAAUGAUAUGGACCAUACAAACCAAACUUCUCUCUUAUGAGUGUGUGUGUGUAUGGGUGAAUGAGACACAGUGUAAAGUGCUUUGGAUAAAAGCGUUAUAUAAGUGCAGACCAUCUUUGGGGGCAUUAGCGAUUCCAUAGUUCUAGUGUGUGAUGCUGGGAAAUGUAGUCCAGAAGUUCUCGUAGUAAAAAAUAAAUAAAUUUUAAAAAGUGACACUGAAGUUCAGAUAGACAUCUUGUGUGUAUUAUUUUUAGUUAAUACAUCACAUUUAUAAACACACUCCCGGCAUGUCAGAACUCCUGACCAUCUUGAUAUCAUGUUUUAUCACAAAUUUGUUGUCAUUCCGUCUUCUCCUUUCAACCUACUAGGUAGAGAUUUAAUGUUUAAACUGAAGUGCUCUCUUACAAUGCAUGAUGGUAGAUUCACUCUGUUAGCUCCAUCUAAUCUGUGUUUCUCUUCGGUCUGCCAUGUGGGUGAUGAUGCGCAUGACACUGACUGCACGGAACAUCCGCUGCCUGAAGCAUUAGAGGCGGUGCCUAAAACUUUAUGGUAUACUAAUGAAAGCAUACUAAUAAAGGGGGCCUCAUUAAGAGUUCUGCAUGCGUGCUUCGAGGAGCCCGCACCUGAAGCUUGGUUGGAAAAUGUUUGACUGUUUGACCUACAUACAUGACUCAUCACUCUGCUCUGAUCUGUCACAGCAUCCCCUGGAAGGAGGGAAUGAAAUAUAUGUUGAUAUCAGUGUUAUAAACCUAAUGACUCACUCUAUUCCCUUUAAUUCUGCUCAGGCUGCGGAACUUUCUCACACAUGCUUGGCAUCAACUUAAGGGUAAGACUGUUACUAUUUACACUGAUUCACAUUGUGCUUUCAGUGUUGCACAUGAUUUUGGUAAGAUAUGGCAUGCUCAUGGUUUUUUGCCACUGAUGGUACACCUAUAACGCAUUCCAUGCUUGUUUCUGAUCUUUUAGAAGCCUCGCUUUUACCUGACAGGCUUGCUAUUGUUAAGGUUAAAGGUCAUGACUUCUCUAACGCAGAACAGGCCUGUGGUAAAUUAACUCACUGAUGAAAUAGUUAGGUGGGCCUUUGAAAGAGGGCUUGUCCAGCCCCUUUGUCCAGAAUAAUGUCUCCAUUUUUCACGUUUUCACAUUAUCUGACUCCUUGUGACAUUGAUGUCGCUUUCUUACAGACACAGGCCUCUCCAGAGAACCUCAUGUUUUGGUCCUCAGAAGGUUGUUCCCCAUUGCACACCGAUGGUUUAAUACACUGCCUGAUGGCCAUCUCACUCUUCCGUCUUCUGUCCUUCCAUUCUAAAGAGGGGUGAUCUCUUCGAUAAAAUCGAGGUUUUGUAUUCGAGACACACAGUGCACGGUGGCUUAGUGGUUAGCACAUUUGCCGCACACCUCCAGAGUCCGGGGUUUGAGUCCCAUCGGGGCCAUGUGUGUGGAGUUUGCAUGUUCUCCCCAUGCUGCGGGGGUUCCCUCCGGGUACUCUGGUUUCCUCCCCCAGUCCAAAGACAUGCAUUGUAGGCAGAUUGGUGUGUCUAAAGAGUGCGUAGUGUAUGAAUGGGUGUGUGAGUGUGUAUGUGAUUCUGCCCUGUGAUGGACUGGCACCCUGUCCAGGGUGUACCCUGCCUUGUGGCCUAUGCUCCUUGGGAUAGGCUCUAGGUUCCCCGUGACCCUGAAAAGGAGUAAGCGGUAGAAGAUGGAUGGACUUUCCAUGCUCAAAGGAAAAUGCCAAUACCAUGGUUAAAAUUCUUGCAAAAGAAAUUUAAAGUUAAAUAAAAAUAAAAAAAAUUACUUAUAGUGACAAUGGGACACCUUUUGUUUCCAAGGUAACACAGAAAUUGUGCAAGUAUCUGAACAUUGAUUGGCACUUUCAUAUUCCAUAUCAUACCCAGAGCUCAAGGAUUGUGGAAAGAAAAAAUCCCAGCAUUAAGGAAUGCCUUAAUAAGGGGCUCUUAGAGAACCCCUCAAGUAAUUGGGUGGAUUUAUCACCUGCCGUCUUAGGCAAGCUUCGCAUGACUCCUAAUCAGAUAACUAAAUUGUCUCCUUUGGAGAUCAUUAUGGGCAGACCAUUUCCCACUCCAUGGACUAAGGGUAACCCAAUUACAGGUAAUCUGGAAGUGA